UGGCGGCAGGCCUAACACAUGCAAGUCGAGCGGUAACAGAAAGUAGCUUGCUACUUUGCUGACGAGCGGCGGACGGGUGAGUAAUGCUUGGGAACAUGCCUUGAGGUGGGGGACAACAGUUGGAAACGACUGCUAAUACCGCAUAAUGUCUACGGACCAAAGGGGGCUUCGGCUCUCGCCUUUAGAUUGGCCCAAGUGGGAUUAGCUAGUUGGUGAGGUAAUGGCUCACCAAGGCGACGAUCCCUAGCUGGUUUGAGAGGAUGAUCAGCCACACUGGGACUGAGACACGGCCCAGACUCCUACGGGAGGCAGCAGUGGGGAAUAUUGCACAAUGGGCGCAAGCCUGAUGCAGCCAUGCCGCGUGUGUGAAGAAGGCCUUCGGGUUGUAAAGCACUUUCCAGUCAGGAGGAAAGGUUAGUAGUUAAUACCUGCUAGCCUGUGACGUUACUGACAGAAGAAGC
RNAcentral lists this ribosomal RNA (461 nucleotides) under marine sediment bacterium ISA-1326. RNAcentral describes it as "bacterial SSU rRNA". It matches the Rfam family "Bacterial small subunit ribosomal RNA", at positions 37 to 491 of the family's 1533-position model. The record is from RNAcentral.